CCUACNGGAGGCAGCAGUGGGGAAUAUUGNACAAUGGGCGCAAGCCUGANGCAGUGACGCCGCGUGAGGGAUGACGGCCUUCGGGUUGUAAACCUCUUUCAGUNGGGAAGAAGCGAAAGUGACGGUACCUGCAGAAGAAGCCCG
This 144-nucleotide ribosomal RNA is filed under the name uncultured bacterium BG5. RNAcentral describes it as "partial 16S ribosomal RNA". It matches the Rfam family "Bacterial small subunit ribosomal RNA", at positions 338 to 494 of the family's 1533-position model. The record is from RNAcentral.